UCUGGAUGAUGUGGUCGGGGCAGUUGAUCGAUGUGUCGGGGCGAUCCAAGCCCCCGUGUCGAGGCACUAGUAUGGUGAAGCGUCUCAGGCUGUGA
This is a long non-coding RNA of Amblyraja radiata (thorny skate), 95 nucleotides long. RefSeq lists it as uncharacterized. Lineage: Eukaryota; Metazoa; Chordata; Chondrichthyes; Rajiformes; Rajidae. The transcript is spliced from 3 exons. The record is from RefSeq and is a predicted model, not a curated record.